GACGAACGCUGGCGGCGUGCUUAACACAUGCAAGUCGAACGGAAAGGCCCUGCUUUUGUGGGGUGCUCGAGUGGCGACCGGUUGAGUAACACGCUAGUAACCUGCCCUUGACUUUGGGAUAACUUCAGGUAACUGGGGCUAAUACCUGAUAGGAGCUUCUGCUCCAUGGUGUGGGUUGGAAAGUUUCGGCGGUUGGGGAUGGACUCGCGGCUUAUCAGCUUGUUGGUGGGGUAGUGGCUUACCAAGGCUUUGACGGGUAGCCGGCCUGAGAGGGUGACCGGCCAAAUUGGGACUGAGAUACGGCCCAGACUCCUACGGGAGGCAGCAGUGGGGAAUAUUGCACAAUGGGCGGAAGCCUGAUGCAGCAACGCCGCGUGCGGGAUGACGGCCUUCGGGUUGUAAACCGCUUUCGCCUGUGACGAAGCGUGAGUGACGGUAAUGGGUAAAGAAGCACCGGCUAACUACGUG
RNAcentral lists this ribosomal RNA (468 nucleotides) under uncultured bacterium. RNAcentral describes it as "partial 16S ribosomal RNA". It matches the Rfam family "Bacterial small subunit ribosomal RNA", at positions 28 to 507 of the family's 1533-position model. The record is from RNAcentral.